CUCCAAACUCGAUAGGAUCUCCAAGCGGAGUCCCAGUACCGUGCAUCUGCAACACACCGCACGAGUAAUCUAGCGAGUCCUCAAAAAUAGAGACAUCAUCAAUGGCCUUACCGAUUACUUCUUGCUGAGAUGGGCCAUUUGGCGCGGUAAGUGAGCUACUUCGACCAUCUUGAUUUACAGCUGACCCACAAAGUGCAACAAACGCACGACUCAUGCUUGAUGUUGACAAUAGAAGUGUGUGACAGGCCUCCCCCCUAAUGUACCCAUCUGCUCCAGCAUCUAAUGUGCGGCAUCUUCCAGAUGAAGAUAGCAUGCCAGCGCGGCCCAAUUUUUUAUGCAUGUCUAUCGUCAACAUGAGUGAUACUCCGACCGUGAAAGCUCCACUUGACUGGUUCUUCCUUGUGAAAUCAAGAGAUAAGUUUACU
This 425-nucleotide long non-coding RNA is filed under the name Micromonas commoda. RNAcentral's name for it is "long non-coding RNA (MCOM_LNC000033)". Lineage: Eukaryota; Viridiplantae; Chlorophyta; Mamiellophyceae; Mamiellales; Mamiellaceae. The record is from RNAcentral.